AGAGUUUGAUCCUGGCUCAGGACGAACGCUGGCGGCGUGCCUAAUACAUGCAAGUCGAGCGAAUCGAUGGGAGCUUGCUCCCUGAGAUUAGCGGCGGACGGGUGAGUAACACGUGGGCAACCUACCUGUAAGACUGGGAUAACUUCGGGAAACCGGAGCUAAUACCGGAUAAUUUCUUUUCUCGCAUGAGAAGAGAUGGAAAGACGGUUUCGGCUGUCACUUACAGAUGGGCCCGCGGCGCAUUAGCUAGUUGGUGAGGUAAUGGCUCACCAAGGCCACGAUGCGUAGCCGACCUGAGAGGGUGAUCGGCCACACUGGGACUGAGACACGGCCCAGACUCCUACGGGAGGCAGCAGUAGGGAAUCUUCCGCAAUGGACGAAAGUCUGACGGAGCAACGCCGCGUGAACGAAGAAGGCCUUCGGGUCGUAAAGUUCUGUUGUUAGGGAAGAACAAGUACCAGAGUAACUGCUGGUACCUUGACGGUACCUAACCAGAAAGCCACGGCUAACUACGUGCCAGCAGCCGCGGUAAUACGUAGGUGGCAAGCGUUGUCCGGAAUUAUUGGGCGUAAAGCGCGCGCAGGUGGUUCCUUAAGUCUGAUGUGAAAGCCCACGGCUCAACCGUGGAGGGUCAUUGGAAACUGGGGAACUUGAGUGCAGAAGAGGAAAGUGGAAUUCCAAGUGUAGCGGUGAAAUGCGUAGAGAUUUGGAGGAACACCAGUGGCGAAGGCGACUUUCUGGUCUGUAACUGACACUGAGGCGCGAAAGCGUGGGGAGCGAACAGGAUUAGAUACCCUGGUAGUCCACGCCGUAAACGAUGAGUGCUAAGUGUUAGAGGGUUUCCGCCCUUUAGUGCUGCAGCUAACGCAUUAAGCACUCCGCCUGGGGAGUACGGCCGCAAGGCUGAAACUCAAAGGAAUUGACGG
This 926-nucleotide ribosomal RNA is filed under the name Bacillus sp. H4R22_pA. Its description in RNAcentral is "bacterial SSU rRNA". It matches the Rfam family "Bacterial small subunit ribosomal RNA", at positions 8 to 916 of the family's 1533-position model. Lineage: Bacteria; Bacillati; Bacillota; Bacilli; Caryophanales; Bacillaceae. The record is from RNAcentral.